This 221-nucleotide ribosomal RNA is filed under the name uncultured bacterium. Its description in RNAcentral is "partial 16S ribosomal RNA". It matches the Rfam family "Bacterial small subunit ribosomal RNA", at positions 114 to 334 of the family's 1533-position model. The record is from RNAcentral.
CGCGUAAAGAACUUGCCUCACAGCUAGGGACAACAUUUAGAAAUGAAUGCUAAUACCUGAUAUUAUGAUUUUAAGGCAUCUUAGAAUUAUGAAAGCUAUAAGCACUGUGAGAGAGCUUUGCGUCCCAUUAGCUAGUUGGAGAGGUAACAGCUCACCAGGGCGAUGAUGGGUAGCCGGCCUGAGAGGGUGAACGGCCACAAGGGGACUGAGACACGGCCCUU